AUGGCCUCCGAGCUAGGGCUACCGCCGCCGGCGAAAGGCCCACCGGCGACACCCACCACCAUUGCCGCUAUCAGCGACGACCUCCUCUGCGAGAUCUUCCUCCUCCUUCCCUCCCUACCGAGCCUCGUCCGGGCCGCCCUCGCCUGCCGCACCUUCCUCAACGCCGUCCGCUCGUCCCCUGCCUUCCGCCGCCGCUUCCGGGCGCUCCACCCGCCGCAGCUCCUUGGAUUCUUCGGAGAACCCCGCCGCGCCCCCGUACCUCCCUUCGUCCCCCUCCGCAGCCGCUCCGACCCGGACCUCGCCGCCGCCGUCCGCGGUUCCGAUUUCUUCCUUACCCGUCUCCCGGAAGACAGCGGCGACUCCACCCUCAGGUGGAAGCUACAAAGCUUCCACGGCGGCUACGUCGUCCUCGUCAAAGAUGCCACCCACCAGAUCGCUGCCUACAACCCUGUCACGCAGGCGCUGCAUCUCUUACCCCGGCCGCCGGAGGAGAUCCUAUUCUCCGACUCUCUUGAGGCCCACAUUGUCUUCUCCGAAGAGGACCAGCGGGUGUUCCGUGUGGUCUGUGUCCAGCACCAGAGCACGCGCCUGCGGGCGCCGGCUUGCGUAGCCGUCUUCUCAACGGCGACAAGGGAGUGGCAGGUUUCCCCAUGGGUGGAGACCUCGCCGCCGCCGCCGCCGCCACCGCCGCCACACGACUUUAUCAAGUUUUACCCUGGCACGCAGCUGAAUGGAUUCGUUUAUUGGAAACACACGAGUCGACCCUAUGUACUUGUUCUCAACACUGUGACAGUGCAAUUCUCUAGAUUGGAUUUGCCGCCAUUCUUGGGACAGAUUAGCUCUACGCGAUUCAGACUUGGUCAGACCAAGGAUGGGAUGCUAUGUAUGGUUGCCAUAGAUCUCUCUGAUGCAGAGAGAGGAACGCUUCAUGUUUGA
Molecule: ribosomal RNA, 936 nt
Filed under: Triticum aestivum (bread wheat)
Lineage: Eukaryota; Viridiplantae; Streptophyta; Magnoliopsida; Poales; Poaceae
Description: partial small subunit ribosomal RNA
Source: RNAcentral